GUUUCACAUCACAUUUAACAAAAAAAACACUAAUUUUGGAUUCACAUGCCAGGCGAAUGAUGGGAGCUUGUCUGAAAUCCGUUGGUGGCAUUUGGGCUCUAUGGUGAUACAAAAGUGUGCGCAAAUCUACAGGCUUUUCAUGAGCGGUCAUGGGUGGUAUCACGACUGUUAGAAACGGAUAGAAAUACAGCAGCCCGCUGUUGUCAAAUCAGCGGCGGCAAAGAGUAAGUCUGGUGGACAAAGCCAAUAUCCAUUGAAAGCUGCUCCUGAAGAAAGUUACGGUGUUUUUAUGGACUAUGGUCGAUUUUUAUGAUCCCAUUGGUCUACGUACUGAUGUGGGCCCAAGUGUGGAGGAACGGGCUAUUUUG
Helianthus annuus (common sunflower) is the source of this 368-nucleotide long non-coding RNA. RefSeq lists it as uncharacterized. NCBI's taxonomy places the organism in Eukaryota, Viridiplantae, Streptophyta, Magnoliopsida, Asterales, Asteraceae. The record is from RefSeq and is a predicted model, not a curated record. The transcript has 3 exons.